UACGUAGGGGGCAAGCGUUGUCCGGAUUUAUUGGGCGUAAAGAGCGUGUAGGCGGCUUGGAAGGUCAGCUGUGAAAACUCGAGGCUCAACCUCGAGACGUCGGUUGAAACCACCUGGCUAGAGUCCGGAAGAGGAGAGCGGAAUUCCCGGUGUAGCGGUGAAAUGCGCAGAUAUCGGGAAGAACACCCGUGGCGAAGGCGGCUCUCUGGGACGGUACUGACACUGAGACGCGAAAGCGUGGGGAGCGAACAGG
Molecule: ribosomal RNA, 253 nt
Filed under: uncultured bacterium
Lineage: Bacteria
Description: partial 16S ribosomal RNA
Rfam family: Bacterial small subunit ribosomal RNA
Source: RNAcentral